RNAcentral lists this long non-coding RNA (209 nucleotides) under Brachypodium distachyon (stiff brome). RNAcentral's name for it is "long non-coding RNA (BDIS_LNC003098)". The record is from RNAcentral. Lineage: Eukaryota; Viridiplantae; Streptophyta; Magnoliopsida; Poales; Poaceae.
UGUGCAUAUUUGUAGUCAAAAUUGAUGUUACGAACACAUAAUAAUAAAAUGAUCAAAUUCAAAAGAAAAAUAUGAUGAUAAUAAAAUGAUGAAAUGCAAAAAAAAAUAUGAAUAUUGUAGAACCAUGGUGAUUGUGAAAUUUUUAGGUGAAAAAUCUUAGGUGAUAAAAAUUGAAUUGUAUAAGAUGUCACAAAAAUGAAUUGCUUGUC